GCUUAGAGUUUGAUCCUGGCUCAGAACGAACGCUGGCGGCAGGCCUAACACAUGCAAGUCGAGCGCGCCUUCGGGUGAGCGGCGGACGGGUGAGUAACGCGUGGGAAUAUGCCCUUCUCUGCGGAAUAGCCACUGGAAACGGUGAGUAAUACCGCAUACGCCCUUUGGGGGAAAGAUUUAUCGGAGAAGGAUUAGCCCGCGUUGGAUUAGGUAGUUGGUGGGGUAAUGGCCUACCAAGCCUACGAUCCAUAGCUGGUUUUAGAGGAUGAUCAGCCACACUGGGACUGAGACACGGCCCAGACUCCUACGGGAGGCAGCAGUGGGGAAUCUUAGACAAUGGGGGCAACCCUGAUCUAGCCAUGCCGCGUGAGUGAUGAAGGCCUUAGGGUCGUAAAGCUCUUUCGCCUGUGAAGAUAAUGACGGUAGCAGGUAAAGAAACCCCGGCUAACUCCGUGCCAGCAGCCGCGGUAAUACGGAGGGGGUUAGCGUUGUUCGGAAUUACUGGGCGUAAAGCGCGCGUAGGCGGAUCGGAAAGUUGGGGGUGAAAUCCCGGGGCUCAACCCCGGAACUGCCUCCAAAACUAUCGGUCUUGAGUUCGAGAGAGGUGAGUGGAACUCCGAGUGUAGAGGUGAAAUUCGUAGAUAUUCGGAAGAACACCAGUGGCGAAGGCGGCUCACUGGCUCGAUACUGACGCUGAGGUGCGAAAGUGUGGCGAGCAAACAGGAUUAGAUACCCUGGUAGUCCACACCGUAAACGAUGAAUGCCAGACGUCAGCAGGCAUGCCCUGUGGUGUCACACCUAACGGAUUAAGCA
This 813-nucleotide ribosomal RNA is filed under the name uncultured bacterium. Its description in RNAcentral is "bacterial SSU rRNA". It matches the Rfam family "Bacterial small subunit ribosomal RNA", at positions 1 to 866 of the family's 1533-position model. The record is from RNAcentral.